AGGUGGAUGCAAUGUGACCUCA
Molecule: microRNA, 22 nt
Filed under: Pan troglodytes (chimpanzee)
Lineage: Eukaryota; Metazoa; Chordata; Mammalia; Primates; Hominidae
Also listed under: 1 other name
Description: ptr-miR-3165
Source: miRBase by way of RNAcentral